GCCCCGGCCUUCCUCUUGAGGAGGUGGGAGCCGGUCAGCUGGGAUCAGGAGGUGGGCUUCAUGGAGCAGAGACUCCAUAAGGGGGCAAAAUAAAUUAGAGAAUUCUCUUGCUGCAAGGAACCUAGACGAGGAGCACCCAGUCAGAGGAGGAAGGAAGAGACCAGCAACAGACCUCCCUUGCUCCAGCAGUCCUGCAAGCCAGAUGGGCCAACUUCUCGGCACAGCUGUUCUCCAGCACAGAGAAAUUUCUCACCUUCAGCAACAGGGCGGGAACAUUCCCAGACAGGGCCACGGCUACUCUGGUCACAGGGACCACGGAGUCUGAGUCUCCGUGGCUUGUCCCAUCCAUGCAACCACAGAUCUGGAGCACACGUCUGGAGUUGCAGAGCCCAAAGGGCAUGGCAGGGCAGGGAUUCUGCCUGAUUGGUGAAAGCCACCCCCGGAGUACAGGCCUGCGCCCAUAUCCAGGUGGAGCCUCCGAUAGGGAGCAUCGAUUUCAAGGAGGUGAAUGUGGACAUUCAAGGCCAGUGAAUGGCCAGGUGUCAACACAUCGACAGGCCCUUGGCCCCUCCCCCAACACUGGGGGGAGGACACCAACAGGGUCUACAUGGUGCAUAGGGUCUCCAGAGCCAGCAAGGUGUGCAAGGCCCAGCAACUGACCACUCUAUUAUGAAUAAGCCAGAACAUUUAUCCAGAAAAAAAAAACAGCUUUGUCCAAUUGGGGACCUAAAGUCUCAGGACCUAUGUCCCCUUCCUGUAGCACCACAUCACUUUCCCAAUGCCCACCCUCACUCCCACCUGCCUGCCAAGCUUCAGGUAUCCAGAACACAGCGUGACAGCAGGCACUGUGAUUCCCACAGGUUUUCCCAACCCACCCCAGGCGUCACUACAGCUUUAGUUCUGAGCAGCAGGGAGUGACAUGCAGAAUGGUCACCCAGACAGAGCAAGACCGUCAACAGGAGGGCGGGCUCUGUCCAGCAGGCGGUACCUAUUGACACAGAAAUCAGUAGGCAUUCUUUCAGGAAGGUUUUUCACUAAGAAAGAAUGAAAGAGGCCGGGCGCGGUGGCUCACACCUGUAAUCCCAGCACUUUGGGAGGCCAAGGCGGGUGGAUCACCUUAGGUCAGGAGUUCGAGACCAGCCUGGCCAAUGUGGUGAAACCCCGUCUCUACCGAAAAUACAAAAAUUAGCUGGCCGUGGUGGCGGGCACCUGUAAUCCCAGCUACUUGAGAGGCUGAGGCAGGAGAUCUUGAUUCCAGGAAGCAGAGUUUGCAAUGAGCCGGGAUCACACCACUGCAUUCCAGCUUGGGCAACAGAGCAAGACUCCAUCUCAAAAAAAAAAAAAAAAAAAAA
Molecule: long non-coding RNA, 1352 nt
Filed under: Macaca fascicularis (crab-eating macaque)
Lineage: Eukaryota; Metazoa; Chordata; Mammalia; Primates; Cercopithecidae
Description: lncRNA (ENSMFAG00000059826.1)
Source: RNAcentral